This 88-nucleotide ribosomal RNA is filed under the name Vibrio vulnificus. RNAcentral's name for it is "partial 16S ribosomal RNA". It matches the Rfam family "Bacterial small subunit ribosomal RNA", at positions 1 to 86 of the family's 1533-position model. Lineage: Bacteria; Pseudomonadati; Pseudomonadota; Gammaproteobacteria; Vibrionales; Vibrionaceae. RNAcentral also lists the same sequence under 2 other names. The record is from RNAcentral.
UUUAAUUGAAGAGUUUGAUCAUGGCUCAGAUUGAACGCUGGCGGCAGGCCUAACACAUGCAAGUCGAGCGGCAGCACAGAGAAACUUG